UACGGAGGGGGCGAGCGUUGUUCGGAGUUACUGGGCGUAAAGCGCACGUAGGCGGUGCGGUAAGUCAGGGGUUAAAGGCUGCAGCUCAACUGCAGUAAGGCCUUUGAUACUAUCGUGCUAGAGUGUCAGAGAGGAUGGCGGAAUUCCCGGUGUAGCGGUGAAAUGCGUAGAUAUCGUGAGGAACACCAGUAGCGAAGGCGGCCAUCUGGCUGAUAACUGACGCUGAGGUGCGAGAGCGUGGGGAGCAAACAGG
RNAcentral lists this ribosomal RNA (253 nucleotides) under uncultured microorganism. Its description in RNAcentral is "partial 16S ribosomal RNA". It matches the Rfam family "Bacterial small subunit ribosomal RNA", at positions 524 to 776 of the family's 1533-position model. The record is from RNAcentral.